This 550-nucleotide ribosomal RNA is filed under the name Klebsiella pneumoniae subsp. pneumoniae. RNAcentral's name for it is "bacterial LSU rRNA". It matches the Rfam family "Bacterial large subunit ribosomal RNA", at positions 1388 to 1922 of the family's 2925-position model. Lineage: Bacteria; Pseudomonadati; Pseudomonadota; Gammaproteobacteria; Enterobacterales; Enterobacteriaceae. The record is from RNAcentral.
CCCCUAAGGCGAGGCCGAAAGGCGUAGUCGAUGGGAAACAGGUUAAUAUUCCUGUACUUGGUGUUACUGCGAAGGGGGGACGGAGAAGGCUAUGUUAGCCGGGCGACGGUUGUCCCGGUUUAAGCAUGUAGGCUGGUUAUCCAGGCAAAUCCGGAUAACCAAGGCUGAGGUGUGAUGACGAGGCACUACGGUGCUGAAGUAACAAAUGCCCUGCUUCCAGGAAAAGCCUCUAAGCAUCAGGUAACAUCAAAUCGUACCCCAAACCGACACAGGUGGUCAGGUAGAGAAUACCAAGGCGCUUGAGAGAACUCGGGUGAAGGAACUAGGCAAAAUGGUGCCGUAACUUCGGGAGAAGGCACGCUGGUGUGUAGGUGAAGUCCCUGCGGAUGGAGCUGAGACCAGUCGAAGAUACCAGCUGGCUGCAACUGUUUAUUAAAAACACAGCACUGUGCAAACACGAAAGUGGACGUAUACGGUGUGACGCCUGCCCGGUGCCGGAAGGUUAAUUGAUGGGGUUAUCCGUAAGGAGAAGCUCUUGAUCGAAGCCCCG